UACGGGGGGAGCAAGCGUUGUUCGGAUUUACUGGGCGUAAAGGGCGCGUAGGCGGCGUGACAAGUCACUUGUGAAAUCUCCGGGCUUAACUCGGAACGGUCAAGUGAUACUGUCGUGCUAGAGUACAGAAGGGGCAACUGGAAUUCUCGGUGUAGCGGUGAAAUGCGUAGAUAUCGAGAGGAACACCUACGGCGAAGGCGGGUUGCUGGGCUGAUACUGACGCUGAGGCGCGAAAGCCAGGGGAGCGAACGGG
RNAcentral lists this ribosomal RNA (253 nucleotides) under uncultured bacterium. RNAcentral's name for it is "partial 16S ribosomal RNA". It matches the Rfam family "Bacterial small subunit ribosomal RNA", at positions 524 to 776 of the family's 1533-position model. The record is from RNAcentral.